CCUACGGGAGGCAGCAGUGAGGAAUAUUGGUCAAUGGGCGUAAGCCUGAACCAGCCAAGUCGCGUGAGGGCUGAAGGUUCUAUGGAUCGUAAACCUCUUUUAUCAGGGAAUAAAGUGUGGGACGUGUCCUAUUUUGUAUGUACCUUAUGCAUAAGGAUCGGCUAACUCCGUGCCAGCAGCCGCGGUAAUACGGAGGAUCCGAGCGUUAUCCGGAUUUAUUGGGUUUAACGGGUUCGUAGGCGGCCUUUUAAGUCAGCGGUGAAAGUCUGUGGCUCAACCAUAGAAUUGCCGUUGAAACUGGGGGGUGUGAGAAUGUGUGAGGCAGGCGGAAUGCGUGGUGUAGCGGUGAAAUGCUUAGAUAUCACGCAGAACCCCGAUUGCGAAGGCAGCCUGCCAAGCCAUGACUGACGCUGAUGCACGAAAGCGUGGGGAUCAAACAGGAUUAGAUACCCCAGUAGUC
Molecule: ribosomal RNA, 460 nt
Filed under: uncultured bacterium
Lineage: Bacteria
Description: partial 16S ribosomal RNA
Rfam family: Bacterial small subunit ribosomal RNA
Source: RNAcentral